GGGCCCGUAGCUCAGCCAGGUAGAGCGGCGGGCUUUUAACCGUGGGUCGCGGGAAGCGACCCGUAGGUCCCGGGUUCAAAUCCCGGCGGGCCCG
This 94-nucleotide transfer RNA is filed under the name Stygiolobus azoricus. It matches the Rfam family "tRNA". From Rfam's summary of the family: Transfer RNA (tRNA) molecules are approximately 80 nucleotides in length. Their secondary structure includes four short double-helical elements and three loops (D, anti-codon, and T loops). Further hydrogen bonds mediate the characteristic L-shaped molecular structure. tRNAs have two regions of fundamental functional importance: the anti-codon, which is responsible for specific mRNA codon recognition, and the 3' end, to which the tRNAs corresponding amino acid is attached (by aminoacyl-tRNA synthetases). tRNAs cope with the degeneracy of the genetic code in two manners: having more than one tRNA (with a specific anti-codon) for a particular amino acid; and 'wobble' base-pairing, i.e. permitting non-standard base-pairing at the 3rd anti-codon position. RNAcentral also lists the same sequence under 1 other name. The record is from Rfam by way of RNAcentral. Lineage: Archaea; Thermoproteati; Thermoproteota; Thermoprotei; Sulfolobales; Sulfolobaceae.